GGGUCUUGGGUGCUCAGAGCACAGUCUAGAAGAGGGUCAAGAGCUCUAACUAGGAGAAGCGGCUGCUGUGUCAAGCGAACACUCAGGCAGCCCUGUGGAGAGGCCUGGCGGGGGGCGGGAGUGGAACUGAGGCCUCCUGCCGGCUGCCAGGCUAGAAGCUGGUUGACGCCCCAGUUCCGAUCAAGCUUUGGAUGAUGGCAUCCUGACCUACAGCCUCAUAACCAUGCAGCUGUCACCUCCUGAGAAACAGGUCAGCACCCCCGGGGGGACUCCCACCCCUGGAAUCUUGCUACUACUUUCAUUCUUCUGCCGCUUCCUGUUGUGUCCUGGGAACUCUUUGUUAACUUGGCGCUCUGCCCACUGCUCUGCACAGACCGGCCCGUCUCUCUGGACAUACUGGGAAUCAGGAUGCUUCUAACUUGUCAUUCUGAGACUGAGGACUGUGUGUUAAAUCGCCAACAGCCGGAACCAUCUCUGUAUAAAUGUGACAUCAUUACUUUUUUUCACAAAGACCUUAUCAGGGAGAAACAUUCCAUUUUACGGGUGGGAAUGCAGUUCUGGGGAAGUAUUUAACGGCCAGCCAGCAGUGGCAGAAAGCCAGGAGAAAACGGAAAAUCCCGUCAUCCUUUCUGACAGCGCAGUAAUAACAUGCGCAUCUGUUUCAUGUGUACAGCUACCUCAAAGUCUGGUCACACCUACUUCUCAGUGUUGGGAAUGUAGCAGAAUAUUGAUGCUUUCUUCCUUUGCUCUUUCUCGAAGAUGCACGCUUCUCACUAGUCAACACGCCACAGCUCUCGCCUGCGAUAUUCCAAUAUCCGAGGAUUCUCUCCCACUUGCUUAAAAAAAAAAAAAAAAAAAAAAAAAAUCUUGCUGGGCACCUGGCUGGCAGGCUCAGCUGGUGGAGUCUGUGGUUCUUGAUCUGGGGUUGUGAGUUUGAGCCUCACAUUGGGAGUAGAGAUUACUUAAAAAACAAAAACCCACAACAAAAACAGCUUGCCACUAACCUUGAGGUCAUCUUUGACUUUUCCGUCCAAAUUCCGUGUCAACAAAGUCCUCAUCAUUCUUGGAUAUGUCUCUUUGAUUCACCUUUUCAUGUAUUUGAGUUUAUCCAAGUAACACAGGAGCAUGGAGUGCAGAAUCCUGGAGUAAAAGGAGAAAGGUGCCCCUGGCUGUUUGUUUACAAGUUCUUCUCAUCCCACUCCAGCUGCCCCUUUGCAAAGUCACUCUGCCAUUCCUCUCUUCAGGAGGGGUCUGUUUCCUGGUCCCUUAAACUGGGCUGACUUUGGACUUGUUUGACCUGCGGAGCCCUGUGGCGUGCUGUUGCGGAGUUGCCGGGCCAGCCUCGGCCAGUCAGCGGUUCCCUACUUCUGAUCUCCCGGCGCAGGGACGCGCCUAGGGGGUCCUGGAAGGAAUCUGGCUUCUCGCACUGCAGCGAGAAGCCAAGGAGGCUGAGGCCCCCGGGCUGGUGGCCACCACCCAUCCCUGCAGCUGGGUCAGAGCUGGGGCGGGGGGGGGGGGGGCGCGGAACCCAGCGCAGGA
Long non-coding RNA from Mustela erminea (ermine), 1539 nucleotides. RefSeq lists it as uncharacterized. The transcript has 3 exons. NCBI's taxonomy places the organism in Eukaryota, Metazoa, Chordata, Mammalia, Carnivora, Mustelidae. The record is from RefSeq and is a predicted model, not a curated record.